Molecule: long non-coding RNA, 2976 nt
Organism: Dreissena polymorpha
Lineage: Eukaryota; Metazoa; Mollusca; Bivalvia; Myida; Dreissenidae
Exons: 2
Source: RefSeq, a predicted model, not a curated record
GAUGUUUUAAAAUUCAUUGUGUUUGUGCUGCAAGUUUUAUGAACUGGUUAUAAAGCUUAUGUAUGAAGAACCGUUUACUGCCUGGUUAGCUGCAGUAGAGCACUCAUAGGAAUUGGGAGAUCUGUGGAAUCCCUUUGUGGCUUGCAAAUUUCAACCUGUUUUCAAAAAUUGCUUAGUUGGUCAGUGUGUUAAUAUUUCAAUUUUCAGGUCUGGUAAAGAAAGUUAUUUAAAGGCAGUGUGCAAGGUUUUCCUUAAUAAUAGCAUGUACACAGGAAAAAAAAGCUUAAUAUUAGAUAUUUUGUUAUAAUCAGUUUGUGGUCCGUCCAUAGCUAAACAUGAACAUAGAUAUUUUUUACUUUUAUUAGUACUAUAUACAUAUAAUAAAUAAAAGGUUGUAUCUUGCAUCUUCUAAUCCUUAAAGUGGCAUGGUGGCCUAGUGUGUGUGUUGUUUAUCUAUGAAAUUUAUACAUGUAUACUAAUAUCUAGGCUACAUUAUGAUGUACUUCUCAAAGAACAGUAUGUUUAAAAUGCAGGUUUAUACUAAUUUAAAUACAGGUACAAAUUAAUCCUGUGUUGUAUAUAGCAGAAUGUCCCUUAUUUUCACUGUUAUCUUUUAAAACUGUUCAGGUACACUUCACCUGCAUAAAACUAGUUCAGAUAUAUAUGUCCCAUAGAGCAAAACAAUUGUCACUAAAUCAUUGUAUAAUCGUUAUUGGCAGUUCACUUCUGUAGUUUCUGAAAUGAAAAAUUGUUGUUACCUACCUUCACUCUUAAUUCAGUUUUAGUGGAAUGCUUAAUUUCAUUUUUUUUUCUUUAUUAGUUGUAAGUAGUGGGCUCUGUGUUCUGAUUAGUUCCUAAAUUGAACACAUGUUUAAACGUCGGUUGUUAAAUUGUAUAACAUGUUAAUGCAGAAUUGUACCAUAACAUGAAAUUGUAUUUUUUGCUUUGUACAUUGUUUGAAAUGUUACCAUCUUGUUUCUAAUAAAUGUUUUUUAUAAUUCACCAUCUAGUCCUAUUUGCAAAAAAGUGAACCAUUUAAAUAUUGUAUUUAAAGUAUACACCCGUUAGCCUUACUUAAGUCGUGAACAUUUCGUAGGCAUUUGUUAUCCCCAGUAAUAGGCGGAGGGAUAUUGUUUUGGCGCUGUUUGUCCGUCCUUCCGUCCGUCCGGCACUUUUGUGUCCAGAGCCAUAUCUUGUUAGUGCUUUAGCGGAUUUCAUUGAAACUUGGUAUGAGUAUAUUAUAUGGAUAAGAGGAUGAUGUACACUUUGUAUCUUGAAAAAAAUGCUUUUUAAUAUAAUCUUAGAGCUUUAUCUUCACUAACACAUGAGCCAGAGCCAUGAAACUUGCCAUAGUUGUUCUCAAUCAUCUAGGGGUGCUUCACAUUCAACAUCCAUAAUUCUAGGGGCUAAGGUCAUGGCCCUUUGUAUCUUGAAAAAAAUGCUUUUUGAUAGAAGCUUAGAGCUUUAUCUUCAUUAACACAUGAGCCAGAGCCAUGCAACUUUCUAUAGUUAUUCCAAUCAUCUGGGGUUGUUUCACAUUCAACACCCAUAAUCCUAGGGGCUAAGGUCAAGGUCACACAUUGAGGUCAAAGGUCACAAAUUUGAGGAAUUAUUCAUUAAUUGGUAAUUCCUUUACUAUGCAUCAAGGAAUUCUGUUAUAACUGUCACAAUUGUUCUCAAUUAUCUAGCUGAGUUUCAAAUAUAAGAUCCAGGUUGCUAGGGUCAUGGUCAAAGUCACACACAAAGGUCAAAAUCACACAUUUUGAUCAUAUAUAUAUAUAUAUAUAUAUAUAUAUAUAUAUAUAUAUAUAUAUAUAUAUAUAUAUAUAUAUAUAUAUAUAUAUAUAUAUAUAUAUAUAUAUAUAUAUAUAUUAAAACUCAGACCCCACAUAGAUUGCAACCGUCAAUAUUUUCUACACCGAAGUACCAUUAAAAGACCAGUAUUGUUAGUGAGUAUGCACAUUAAGAUCUUAUGCUGAAUGUUCAGUUGGAGUAUGAAUGCUAUUCCAACCACUAUUUCACUUUUAAAAUAUGUAACCACCAAUUGCGAGUCCGCAUGCAAAGAUGUAUUGUAUUUAUUAAAUUUAGAAUUUCUAAAUUCUGGAUAUUAUUUAGAGUAGCAGCAAUCUCAACAUUUCUUACACAAAUUUUAUUCUGUUAAUAAGACGUGUAUAGUAUAGUGCAGGUUAUAAUCUGUUUUUAAAACUAUUAUAUCUAAACAUGUAAUAUACUUUUCUAUUAUUGCAUAAAAAUAGUCAUGUAUUAGUUUUAAUACAUUUUAAAAGUACAUAGGUGAGACUGUAUCAAUUUACUGAUGUUUUUAUCAGUGUAAAUAAUGAAUAACAUGUAUGUACAUUAAGGUCCCUUAUAAGUCUUUUGUUGAACGGUCAUAUAGAAUGCAAUGUAUCUAUUUUAUGAAUGUUGAAAGACAUUUGUACAAUACAUUGUAUAUAGACUGGGACUAUAACAAUGAACUAAAAUUGCUUGCUAAAACAUUUGAAUGAAGUUGAAGAAAGGUAACUCUUUAGGGCUUAAAAAUGGUUGGCAAUAUGGUUCGAGUUACUUCCCUUCAAGCUUACGUGUGGCUAGCAAUUUUACUUAAUACAUUAUGAAAACUGAUUUUAAGUUGAUAUUACAUUGGAGAUUUAUAUUAUCACCACGAUUCAUCUUAAUCAAGGAAUGACCAUGGUAAUUGGAAGAUCUUUUAAGAUGUGUAAUUGUUUGCGCAAUAAUGCAUUUUGUAAUGACGGGCACUAUAUUGGAAGUGUAUGGCAUUCUUGAUAGGGUCGGUGGUGGUAAUGUAGUUUUUACCAUGUAUAGUCAUGAUAGUCAUGUAACGUACAUUGAUAAGCGUUGAAUAAGUCUCUUAUAAUUCCUUUCAUGAAUGGCCAAUGUUGUAUCUAUAGCUUUAUGUUUUAUAUAUGCAUUGUGAAAAUUGUAAAUAUUGGAUGAGACUAUAAUAAACUAUAAAACGUG